UACUAAUUCUCACGCCUGAGCUAUCCCCCGACGGAACCGCCGUCAAGCUUUCGGUGUUGACUCUGUUUACUGUGCAGGAUCAGGACGUCUUACGUGAUUGGGACGUGGAGAAAGAUCCUGGCGUUAACAUUGGCGCUAGAAGAAGGGCUUUUUGAGUUCUAGUGUCAUUAAAAUUUUCAAUCACAAUCGUUUAACCUACUUUGGAAGAUGAUGAAGAGUAGGGAUGGUACACCAG
RNAcentral lists this long non-coding RNA (235 nucleotides) under Panax ginseng (ginseng). Its description in RNAcentral is "long non-coding RNA (PGIN_LNC000794)". Lineage: Eukaryota; Viridiplantae; Streptophyta; Magnoliopsida; Apiales; Araliaceae. The record is from RNAcentral.